GACGAACGCUGGCGGCGUGCUUAACACAUGCAAGUCGAACGGAAAGGCCCCUUUGGGGGUCCUCGAGUGGCGAACGGGUGAGUAACACGUGAGUAACCUGCCCUUGACUUCGGGAUAACUUCAGGAAACUGGGGCUAAUACCGGAUAGGAAUCCUUGCUGCAUGGUGGGGGUUGGAAAGCUUCGGCGGUUUUGGAUGGACUCGCGGCUUAUCAGCUUGUUGGUGGGGUAGUGGCUUACCAAGGCUUUGACGGGUAGCCGGCCUGAGAGGGCGACCGGCCACAGUGGGACUGAGAUACGGCCCAGACUCCUACGGGAGGCAGCAGUGGGGAAUAUUGCACAAUGGGCGGAAGCCUGAUGCAGCAACGCCGCGGGCGGGAUGACGGCCUUCGGGUUGUAAACCGCUUUCAGCAGGGGCGAAGCUUGUGGUGACGGUACCUGCAGAAGAAGCACCGGCUAACUACGUG
This 465-nucleotide ribosomal RNA is filed under the name uncultured bacterium. RNAcentral describes it as "partial 16S ribosomal RNA". It matches the Rfam family "Bacterial small subunit ribosomal RNA", at positions 28 to 507 of the family's 1533-position model. The record is from RNAcentral.